GGAAAAAAAAAGAAGAAUCAACGACAAAAGAAAAGGGGGAGCUAAAAAAGAAAAAAAGAGGGUGACAAAGAGGAUAUCUUCUCUUGCAAUCGCCUAUUAAAAGGAGAAGAGGAGAAAACCAAAAAGAUAGAUCUACAGGAGAGAGAGGAGCUAGAGAGAGAAAGUAGAAACCAUAUUUGCAAAGCUUAGAGAUCGAGAGACGGAGUACGAGUUUCGUCAGAGAACACAGCAAACGCAAGCGAAGGGCAGCAACAAACUGAGUAGGAGAAGCAUACCAGUGUGGAAACAGGCUGGUGUGGUGCCAACGAGAAAGGUAAAAGAGCUCGGUGAAAGAAGAAAAAUAACCACGUAAUAUUUAUUUGAAAUUUUAUUAGCAUAUUUUCUUUUUGAAGAAACUUUUAGGAAUUUUUUUUAUCAAACUUGAAUGGGAAUGUUUGUGAUAUUUCAUACAGUUAUUUUUAAUUAUUAUAUGAUUAUAUUUUUCGCAAUAAUAAUUGUUAUUGCUCAAUCCACCGUGUGGGAGUGAUUGAUAUAGCCUAAAUCAAAGUAUGUUUUAGAAUUAAUUUUUAGCUUUCUUCUAUUUGCAGUUUAACAAUAUUAAACUUAAUAUGGUUAUGAGAAUUGACCAACUCAUAACUUGAUUUGUGAUUGAUAGUUUUAAAGUGGUAGAAGUAAAGUUUUAUUAAUUAGAUAUAUAUUGUUAAGUGUUAAUUAUGAUUUGAACGGAAGUAAUAUAAUUAAAUUGACGUGGAGAAAUCAAAGUAUCAUAGAUUUAAUUGAAUCAAAUUAAUAAUUACUACAAAAUGUUAAUAGUUGUUAAUUGAUAUAUCUAGAGAAUACUGGAAAAGAAACUGAAAAUACAUUAGGAUAGCUCGACCAUUGCAGAUUAGAUUAAAUCAAUUACGAAAUUAAAAUUAGAAUGUACCUAAAAUUUAGGUAAAAUCAAUUACUCUGGUAUAUUUUCGUUGAUAAGUUUUUGUCAAUUUAAUUACUAUACUUUGAUUAAAUUAUUUAAAAAAAUUUCUCUUCAUAAAUAUAAUUUCGAUUUCUAGAUAAUAAUAAAAUUUCUACAAUUUUGGUACUUGAUAUAUAGCAAUCCCUGUAAGACGAUACUCUAUUAAUCACUUUAUUACUUGAACAGUUUCGUGCACUUGUUUAUUCGCUUAUCAAAUUUUUGGCGCCAUUACCGAGGAUUGUCAGUAUCAUUAUCAAUACUAAGGGUUAUUAUUAGUGUAGAGUUUAUUCUCUUGUUUUUUAGUUUACUUGCAUUUUAGUUUUUAUUUUUAUUUUUAUUUUAUUUUUUUAUUUUUUAUUAUUUUUAAUUUAAGCAUAAUUUUUUUAUUUUGCUUAUUUUAUUUUAUUUUUAAUUAUUAUUAUUUUUUUGUUGUGAACAUAUUAUGUCAUUUCUUUUUAUGUUUUCAGUUGGUAUAUGAGUCGAUCGAACAACAUAAAACUCUUUAUAAAUCUAGAAUAAAAAAGACUUGUAGACAACUGAAUCGCGAGAGAAAGGAACACUUAGUAACAGAAAGACAAACAAGAGUUGAGAUGACUAAAUACAAAAAAUUGGGUGAGUAAGGGAUGUUUUGAACGAAAAUAAUAGGAUAGCACUCAAAGACUUUGCUACUCCUCUUUUAGGAGCUUUGUUAAGUAUAGUUUGAUCGAGUGUUAAUGCUAACAACUUCGAGAUUAAACCUGCCAUCAUUUAAAUGAUCUAAACCUCAAUUUUGUUUGGGAGUUUUCUAAAUAAUGAUCAUAAUGCACAUCUCUAUAAUUAUUUAGAAAUUUAUGAUACUUUUAAGUAGAAUGGGAUUUCUAGUGAUGCAAUUAAACUUAGGUUUUUCCCUUUUUCGUUAAGAGAUAAAGCUAAAAAUUGUUUGCAUUCUCUUCCUACAGGAACAAUUACUACAUUAGAAGAUCUAACUCAAAAAAUUUUGGCUAAAUUUUUUCCGCUAGACAGGAUAGCAAGGAUGAGAAAUAAUAUCACAAGUUUCUACAAGAUGGAUGGGGAAACGUUGUAUGAGGCAUGAAAGCAAGUAAAGGAGUUGAUUAGAAGAUGUCCUCAUUAUGGGUUACCUAAGUGGUUGUUGGUCCAAAUGUUUUACAACAAAUUGAAUCAACAAACCAGGAUCACAAUCGAUGCAGCUGCUAGAGUUGUUAUGAUGGGGAAGUCUACAAAUGAUGCUUAUGAGCUAUUGGAAGAGAUGGCCAUGAACAACUAUCAAUGGCCAACAAAAAGACUUCAACCUAAGAGAAAAGCUGGAUUAUAUGAGAUUGAUCCGAAUAGUGUUAAUAUUGUUAAUUCUCAUAGGAUUUAUUUGAAUAUCAUUUCCAAAGAUAUGAGGUAGAAUAAAUGAGUUUUGUAGCUGGGCAAGACAGGCCACCAUAUAAUCCAUACUCUAAUAUAUACAAUCUUGAAAUGAGAAAUCAUCCAAAUUUUUCAUAGAGAAAUCAGUAAAAUGUGGCAAGGCCUUCCCCAAGAUUUGAGCCUCAAGAAAAGAAGCCCUUGCUUAAAGAUAUGAUUGCAACCAUUCAUAAGAACACAAUAGAAUUUGCAACAAAGACUGAAGCAGUUAUUCAGAACCAACAAUUGAUGUUACAAAACCAAUAAACAUCGAUUAAGGAACCAAAGAGAAAAAGGUUAAAAAAGAGAAGGUCAAGCAAGAAGUGGAAAAUAAGCAAGUAGUGCUCAAACCUUAUGUGCCACCUAUUUCAGUUCCACACAACACCUCAAAAAGCAUACUAAAUAAAGAAUUUCCUUAAAUUUCUUGAUAUAUUUAAAAAACUUCACAUUAAUAUUCCUUUUGUAGAUGCUCUUACUCAAAUUCCAAAGUAUGCGAAGUUUCUUAAAGAGAUUAUAGCAAAGAAGAGGAGUUUAAAAGAUCAUGAGACUAUUAUACUCAUCGAGGAGUGCAGUGCCAUCAUUUAGAAUAAACUACCGCCUAAAGUGAAAGAUCCAAAGUGGAAGGGACGUGCCUACUGUGCACAUGUCUCGUGCGUGCGUGCAGAAGGGACGUGCGCAUUGUGUGCACGUCCCAUGCAUGCGUGCGGAAGGGAUGUGCACGCUGUGCGCACAUCCCGUGGCCACUGUGCAUGCAUGCAUAUGCGCACAAUGCCUAACACCCGCGCGGGUAAUCAGACUCGUGGGAUUUUUUCGACAGAUUUUCUUCCCGAUUUGUCGUUUUCUGAUUUUUUUUUCUCAAUUUUCAUGUUUAAUUUAAAUGAGUUAGAAUAAAAUUAUUUAAAAUAAAAUAAAAAUUAAAUAAAUUAAAGACAAUCAAACUUACGAAUUACGAUAAAUAUUAAGUAGCGUAAAUUAAUUAAGUUUAACGUGGCCAAAGGCCCGAAUAAAUAGGGUUUCCAAAUUAUUUUAGCAUAGUGAUCGGUGGGAUAUUACAUCCCCCCCCCACGUUAAAACAUUUGGUCCUCAAAUUUAUCAUAAAUAAGUCUGGAUACCUUUUCCUCGUUUCAUACUCCAACUCCUACGUCGCUUCUUCCGGGGUAUGAUGCUGCCAUUGUACCUUCACCAUGGGAAUCGUCUUGUUAUGCAAGAUCUUAUCAGUCCACUCAAGAGUCUCCAUAGAAGCCUCUUCAUAGGUCAUAUUAGCUUGUACCUGCACCUAAUCGCGAGGAAUAACAUGAUAAGGCACCUUUUAUGCAUCGAGACAUGAAAGACAUUAUGUAGACCCGCGACUCUCAGGAUAGAAUAAGGCGAUAUGCCACGAGUUUAAUGUGCUCGAUGAUAAGAAAAGGUCCCACAUAAUGAGAGCUCAAUUUUUCUCUCUUCCCAAACCGCAUCUUACCUUUGUAGGGGUAGACUUUUAGGAAAACUUGAUCCCCCAUGGCAAACUCCAAGGGUCGCCUACAAUUAUCAGCGUAACUCUUUUGGGGGCUCUGGGCAGUUGCCAAAUUCUUGCGAAUGAUUGUGACCUUCUCAAUGAUCUCUUGAAUGAAGUCUGGUCCUAAGCAACGCUGGUUCCCUACUUCACUUCAACAAAUAGGGGAACAACAUGACCUUCUAUACAAAGCUUCGUACAGGACCAUAUUGAUGCUAGAAUGAUAAUUGUUAUUAUAAGUGAAUUUACAAAAAAGAAGAUACUCAUACUAGUUAUCACCAAAGUUGAGAAUGCAAUCACGUAACAUAUCUUCCAAUGUCUAGGUCGUACGUUCUGAUUGACCAUUCGUCUGGGAAUGAUAAGUGGUGCUGAAGUACAACCCAGACCCUAGAGCUUCUUGGAAGCUGUUCCAAAAGUGAGAAGUGAACCGGAGAUCGCGGUUGGACACAAUAGAUGAGAGAACUCCAUGAAGUCAAAUAAUCUCAUUAACAUAUAGGUGUGCUAACUUACUGGUGGAGUCCGUUGUUCGAAUAGGUAAGAAAUGGGCAGUUUUGGUCAUCCUAUCUAGGAUGACCCAAAUGGUAUUUCGACCAGAACAAGUCCUGGGCAAUCUGGUGACAAAGUCCAUAGCUACAUGCUCCCAUUUCCAUUCGGGAAUCGGAAGACGCUGUAGCAAGUCACCAGGUCUUUGAUGUUCUACCUUUAUCAGUUGACAAGUGAGACAUCAGGAGACGUAGUCAACUAUAUCCUUCUUCAUUCUUGGCCAUCAAUAUUGUCGCUUCAAAUCCUGGUACAUUUUGGUACUCCCGAGAUAAAUGAAUAACUUGGAAGCAUGGGCAGUCUUAAGUACAUUCGUACAUACAACAAUGGGAACCUAAAUUCGGUUCUAGAAUCUGAACAGUCCAUCAUUCGAGAUCCUAAAAUUAGGAGAUUCAUCAGAAGUGAACUUACCUAGAUUCUUGGUGAGUUCUAGGUCCAUGGCUUGUGCUUCUCAAAUCUUCAUAAAGAGAUCCGGUAUGCCUCAGAUCUUGGCGAGAUAGGUACCCUUACCGUAGUAGCUAAGACGGAGCAAUUGUACAGUGUCCAUUAUCUUCCAACAUGAGGCCAUAGUUUGAGCCAGCACAGCAGACUCCUUUUGACUUAGGGCAUCGAUGUCUACAUUCCCUCUCCCGGGGUGAUAAAUGAUCUAGAAAUUGUUUAAUCCUUCAUAAGAUCUAUCCAGUGCCUUCGCCUCAUGUUUAACUCCCGUUGAGUAAAGAUGUACUUGAGACUCUUAUGGUCAAUGUAGAUUUCAAAGAUCUGGCCAUACAGGUAAUACCACCAUAUCUUCAGGGCAAAAAUAAUGGUUGCCAACUCCAGGUCGUGGGUAGGGUAGUUCUGUUCAUGAACUUUGAGCUAUCGAGAUCCAAAGGCGACUAUUCUACUAUGUUGUAUCAAGACACACCUCAAACCAAUAUGAGAUGGAUCGUAGUAAACUUGGAAUCUCCCAACAUCGUCAAGGAGGAUUAACAUAGGACCAGAGGUAAGACGAUGCUUCAGUUAUAUGAUGCUUUUACUGCACUCAUAAUUCUAGACAAAUGGUACUCCUUUUUGGGUGAGUCGGGUCAUAGGAGCAACAAUCUUGGCAAAUCUGUCAAUGAAUCAUCAGUGGUAGCCUGUUAAGCCAAGAAAGCUACGUACCUCGGCCACAUUGGUGGAAGACUCUAGCUGACCACCGAUUCCACCUUAGACGAGUCUACAGAAACUCCUUCACUUAAGAUGAUAUGACUGAGAAACAAAACUCGAUCCAACCCAAAGGAGCAUUACUUAGUUUCGCAUACAGUUGGUUUUGGCGAAGAGUCUCCAACAUUUCAGCUAAUUGUACAGUGUGUUCCUCAUGGCUUUUUGAAUACACUAGAAUGUCAUCAAUAAAAAGAUGGCGUACUGAUCUAGUGCGUACCGAAAAACUCGAUUCAUUAAGUCCAUGAAGGGUGCUAGGGCAUUAGUUAAUCCGAAUGACAUCACCCUGAACUCGUACAAAUCAUAGAUGUACCAAAAGGUAAUUUUUGGAAUAUUUUCUUCUUUAACUCUCAACUGGUGAUACCCGGUCCUGAGAUCGAUCUUUGAGAAGUUCGUGGCUCCUUGCAGAUGAUUGAAGAGAUUGUCAAUAUGGGGUAAGAGGUACUUAUUUUUAAUGGCCACUCAGUUGAGUUCCCUGUAGUCCACACAGAGUCGGAGGGUACCAUUAUUUUUCUUUAUAAACAACACUGGGGCGCCCAAGAGAAUUGGCUAGGGUGAAUGAACUUUUGGAUGAUAAGGUCAGAAAGCUGAUGUUCCAGCUCUACUAGCUCAGCAUGACUCAUGCGAUACGUGGGCUUUGAGAUCGGCUGGGUUCCAAGCAAUAAUUCAAUCAAGAACUCUACCUCACGUGGGGGAGUUAGACCAGGAAGUUCGAUGGGAAAGACAUCUGAAAAAUUACAAAUAAUUGGUAUGGAACACACAGUAGGAUCAACAACCAUAUUCCUGUUCAUUCAAAUAUUAGGAAAAUAAGUUUUAUUUCUUUUUCGGGGAUCAUAAGGUUAUAAUUUUACUUUCACAGUCUAUUAUACCUCUAUACUUUUUCAACCAGUUCAUUCCUAAUAUUACAUCAAAUCCUACAAAAUCUAAUACUAUCAGGUUUAGACAUACCUUUAUCUCUGAAGUUUUUAUCCUACAGUUCUUAUACACAAUGAACUUCUAAUAGUAUUUUAGAGGGAGUUUUCACCACUAGUAUUUUUCCUAAAGCUUAUGGUCUAAACUCUAGAUUACAAGUAAAUGCAUAGGAAAUAAAAGAGUGAGUUGCACCAGUAUCGAUCAAAGCCUUAACAGAAGUAUUAUGAAUAAAAAGCAUACCCUGAAAAAUGAGAGGAGUAGGAAGGGCAUCAGAUUCAUCUAAGUGGUAUACUCGACCUUGUGCUAUGAGUCGGUCUAUAUCUUUUGGUCGUUGUGGGCAGUCCUUUAUAAGGUGCUGAGUGCUUUCGCACCGAUAGCAGGUGUUAUUGAUACAUCAGCAGGGCAGGUCACCAUGCGAGCGACCACAAUACUAACAGACUUGGUUAGCUUGGGCAGGUGGAGCUGUAAGUGGGGGGGCAAGGUUUGAGGAAGGAUAACUCUGGUUUGUUUGUCUGGAUGGUUACUUACUUGGUCAGGAAAUCUUCUUCUAACCUUGUGGGGUUGUGUUUGGGUACAGACUCAGGCAAUGCAUUGGUGCUUGGCCGAGAUAAGAUCUUCGGCCAACUGGGCAUGUUCUAGCACUCCCGCAUACGAGUUGGGUCUCAGCAUUAUGACUCGAUCAUAAAUGUCAGCACGAAGGCCCUUGAGAAACUUCCUAACUUUUCAGUUUUCGGGGGUGACCAUCAAAGGGGCAAACCUAGACAGUUGAACAAAACGAGCUACAUAUUGGGUUACAGACAAGCUUCCUUGGCAGAGUUCCUGGAAUUCCUCCUCUUUCUUUUCCCGAACAUAGGCAAGGAAGAAGUUAUCAAAGAAAUCAUCCAUGAAAACUUCCAAGGCAGUAGGGAUAGGUAAGACUUCUUUCUUAAGUCGCCACCAGUGUUCGACUUCACUGUUUAACAUCAAAGCGUAAGAGGGACCUUUUAUUCUUCGGUCAGGUCUAGGACAGAUAAGAGCUUCUCUAUUUGUAGGAUCUAGGCUUCGGCUACUAAAGGAUCAGGGUCACCUUCAAAGUGUGGGGGGUUAAAUUUCCUACACUUUGCUAUAUUGUGGGAGAUAGACUGUUAUGUGUUUCUAAAUUCAGGUGCAGGGGGUGGAUAAGGAUUGACUUAAUUUUGUCCUAUGACUACAGUUAAUCCUUGAAUGGGUCGAAAAAGUUCUGUAAAUUCAACCCUAGUCGAAUGAUCCAGGGCUUCAAGUCGCUUAGUAUGCUCUAUGGUUGGUCUUCCUCGCAUCGUUCCUACAAAGAAAGGAAGACACGAGUUGGAGGUUUAAUCUUUGAAAAGAGAACUUAUUUCUUUCCUAGAUAUUUUAAAAGGUUCAUCUACCUAAGGUCUUAGUGCAAGGGAUUUGAUCUUAAAAUUCUACUAUAAUACCAUCUGUGAGAUCCCAAGUGCUAAUUAAGGAAAAUGGAUGUCAGAUAUAGAUUCAGGAUAACGAGUGCAUGAUAAAAUUUAUACAGCGGAACAAAAUCAUUAUAAAUCCCUUAAAAAUAUGAGUUCCAAUACAUACAUAUAUUGAGGCCAGAAGUGGCUGCAAAAUACAAAAAAGAAAACAUAACGGCCACUUUUUUCACUGUGCUAUUAAACUCAUCAGAGUGCGAGAAUAGUUACGCACUCAGACUUAUGGAUCCAUGGGAUCCUUAUAGACUUCCAAGGGUGGGUUAGCAUGCGGUUCCUCACUUUCUUCCUCAUCUGGGGGGUGGGCAUGAAAAGAGUGAGUUCCAUAUGCUCAGUAAGGAAAACAAUAUUAAAUUAACAUCGUAAGAUUUUAAAAGUUAAUUAUUUUAUCUUACCGUUUAACUUCCUCGUUUACCUAUCUCGCAUUAUGAAAAACAAUUUAUUUAUUAAGAAAACGAUAUGUUAAUACAGAUAAUUAUACAUACAUCAUGUCAAAUAAUAGAGAAAAUAAAAUAAAUCAUGAAAUGCUCAGAUUUUCUUAUCAUACUUCGCGAAGUCGUUACAACUUCCAUCUCUGAGGCCAAAUACAGAUAGGGCAAUUUACUGAGGCCCAUUUUCGGCUGGCCAAACCAUGGUUGGAUCUAUGACCACGGUCGUACCAACUAUAGUGGUCCUAACAUAUAUUUACAGUCAUGACAUUACUUAGCCACGGGUGACCCCUACAGAUAGUGCGACACUACUCUCGUCAGAUGGUACACCGUCAUCUACUAGGAGCGGUCCUCUUACGUCUUUCUAGACCAGAUAGGGGAGGAGAAACAGAUACUCUGAAGGGUAAGGAGAACAGAUAUCCCUCAGAGAUAAAAAGUCUAACAAGACACUUGAUGCAAUAUGCAUGUCAAUACAAAUACACUUCAGACUAUACAGGCUUCAUUUAACUUUUUUUUUUAUAUAUAUAUUUUUUAUUUUCACCGAUUACAUAUUAUAUUUAUUAUAUGCAAAUUCAUCAAGUCUUUGCACUUGAUAUAGCAUGCUUGAAAAUAAGAAUAAUUCGACUCAUCUAAACACAGAGGCAUACAAAACAGGCAAAAUAACAAUCAUACUAAAUUAGUUUAUCUAAAAAUACUCCUUAAAAUAUCAAAAAAAAUACUAAAUUUUUUAUUGAAAUCUUGACAUUUUCUCCUUCACCUUAUGUGCUGUGCGCACAUCCCACAGCCACUGUGAGCGUAUGCUCACGCACACAAUGCCCAGCACUUGCACGGGCAACCAGAUUCCUCGCAGGAUUUUCUUCCCAAUUCAUCGUUUUCUGAUUUUUUUUUUCUCAAUUUUCAUGUUUAAUUUAAAUGAGUUAGAAUAAAAUUAUUUAAAAAAAUAAAAUAAAAAAAUAAAAAAAUAAAAUAAAAUUUAAAUAAAUAAAAAUCAACCAAAAUUAGAAAUUACGAUAAAUAUUAAGCACNNNNNNNNNNNNNNNNNNNNNNNNNNNNNNNNNNNNNNNNNNNNNNNNNNNNNNNNNNNNNNNNNNNNNNNNNNNNNNNNNNNNNNNNNNNNNNNNNNNNNNNNNNNNNNNNNNNNNNNNNNNNNNNNNNNNNNNNNNNNNNNNNNNNNNNNNNNNNNNNNNNNNNNNNNNNNNNNNNNNNNNNNNNNNNNNNNNNNNNNNNNNNNNNNNNNNNNNNNNNNNNNNNNNNNNNNNNNNNNNNNNNNNNNNNNNNNNNNNNNNNNNNNNNGAUGGGCGAGAUGUUACAGUCAUACUCACACUGUGCUCUACAUGUAACUAACGGGUAUCCUCUCUGUAGAGGACCGCUGAUCAUCAGAGGGUGUCACAACACUUUUUAAUGGAGGGAGAAAUAGAAACUCGUUAGAGAUAACAAUCGAACAGAUUUUCCAUUCUCACUUGUUUAUUCCAUAUUUAUAACAAAUUUCAUAUUCUUUUCAUAUGCAUAUUACAUGUUUAAUGUAACUAUUUUCGAACUCGAUAAGGAUUCCACAACUUAUUUAGCCUCAAGCAUUUUUUCUAUAUUCUGCCAUAAGGCUCAUCUCAUGUGUUUGGCCCGAAGGCUCAUUUCACAUAUCCAGCCCGAAAACCCACUUUACAUGGAAUUGACCUUCGGGUCAUCCUCUUGAACUAAGGUCCACUAUAAUAACCCUCUUCACCAUUACUAAGGUAAGGCGAAAGGCCAAACCUGCAUGUAAUUUUCCAUUAUCAUAUUUUCAUGCAUCAUGUUCAAUAUUUUCAUGGUUAAAUAAUGAUCAAUAAUCGUAGAGACUUAUACAUCAAACCAACAUGCUCAACAAUACCAAACAUCAAUCCUUGUAGGGAUUCAUGCAUCAUAGUCAUAAGGCACACUAUCAUAAUCAGUCACCAAACAAGCAUAGAAUUCCUUUUUAAUAAACCUCCAAUUUCACUAAAUUAAUUAGCUAAAAAGAGCACUUAGAAUGUAGAUAAAAAUACUAAAAAAUCCCUUACCGAAAUCAAGUCGAUUAGUCUUUUGGAAGGGAGAAAAGAACUUUUAGCACUCGUUGGUCAAACUCCUUAAACUCCUACUUUUUCUCCUACUUUCUUGCUUCUUUCUCUCUCUAAAAGAGGAAAUCACUCUAAAAUGUCUCCCUAGAAAGUGAAAAUGGAAGAAGAAAUGAAGUGUGGGAAGAUGAGGAAAAGAGAGCCUUUAAAGAGGCAUGGGGAAAGCUUAGAUGUGCACCACAUGGCAGCAUCAAGUGGGUGGUUGAGAGCUGGGUGAGGAGUGGGUGACUAUGGGACCUAUAAGGCAUUGGGGGGGGGGGGGGGGGGCAUGGGCACGGGUAUGGGGCUUNNNNNNNNNNNNNNNNNNNNNNNNNNNNNNNNNNNNNNNNNNNNNNNNNNNNNNNNNNNNNNNNNNNNNNNNNNNNNNNNNNNNNNNNNNNNNNNNNNNNNNNNNNNNNNNNNNNNNNNNNNNNNNNNNNNNNNNNNNNNNNNNNNNNNNNNNNNNNNNNNNNNNNNNNNNNNNNNNNNNNNNNNNNNNNNNNNNNNNNNNNNNNNNNNAAUCAAAAUUGGAUCUGAGAGGGGAUGGACAGUUUCAAGUCCUUGAAAGAGGCAACGGUACCACCUACAAAAUUGACUUACAUUUAACGUUUUUUAUCUUUCUCCUUUUGAAAUAGGUGAAGAUUCUUUUCAAAGAGGGAGAGGAUGAUGUGAGUCCAAUCAACACAUACAAGGAAACUAAAUCUCGAGAACCAGAUGUAGAAAUAAAAAGAAUCCAAGACAGCCUUGGAGAGUAAGGAAAACAAAUUGAAAUGCCUCCUAUACCAAUCACAAGGAAUUGGGCCAAAAAAUUUCAACUUGCAUUUAAUAUGUUGGCCCAAGAAUGGAAAAAUAAAGAGUAGGAUCAAGGUAGGCCAACUGACCUUAGAGAAGAUAUGGGAGCACGUGCUAAGCACGUGGACGUACUCAUACAUGCAAAUGAACAACCAUAUGUGUAAGAAAGGAGUCUUGUACUUGUGGAGAUCUCACUCGUGUGAGAAACGUGUACAAGGCAUGCAAGCAAGCCUUCUAGUAUGUAAGGCAACACGCAUGUGCGAAAUAGCCUAUCGCAUACGUGCAGGAGAAUGCGAGCAUGAAGUAGGCCGCGUAGAAAUACAACACAUGUUGUAGGGGCACACAUGCACAGAGGUAGUUGCGCGCGCGCAGAGCAAAAGUGCUCACGUGCCACACGUGAGGAAGAGUCACGCGGUCGAGGUACGUGUGCGAGCCAUUCGCAUGCUCGCAGAUUGACGUGCAUGCAGGCAUGCCUUUCUGCACAUUUGGCAUGUUUGGCAUGGGGCUGCAGUUGUUGCCCGAAUUUUGGACUCAUUUUCUUUAUAUUUUCCAUGUAUUUCACUCAAAAAUCACAUGGCAUUAAAUAUGCAACUAUUUAAAUAUUUUAUUUAUAUUAUUUCAAUGUAAAUAUAUUCCCUAGGAUUAUUUAAUUAAUAUUUUUAGGAUAGAGAUUGAGAUAGAGUUUUAUUUUAUUAUUUUUCAAAAAUUUGUAAUCAUUUAGAGUUACUUAGGUGAAAACCUGUAUAAAGGUCUCAUCAUAGGUUGUAAUUCACAAUCAAAUUUGAAGAUCAAUAAAGAAACUUUUUGCUUUAAAUUAGACUGCUAAUUUUCAAGUUCUUCAAAUGUCUUCAAGCUUGGAGUUUCAGACGGCUUAGUUGAGGGGGGAAUCGGGAUCGCUUUAUCGGGUAAGUCGUGGCAUCUUUCUCUUUUCUUUUUAUUUUCCAGUUACUUGAAUUAGCUUUCACUUAGUCGACUGUGAUUCUAAUUGGGAGGGUUCAACUUAGAUAAUUAAGUUUUGAAUUACUGAACAUAGUGGGUUUAAGAUUGAGGUGUUUUCAAUCGGUGGAGUAAACGCACUCCACCUCAUGUCAGUUAUGCAAUUUGAUUGUUCCAUUUUUGCAUAGUUCUUAAUUUUCCUUUUAAUGUACUUUAAUUUCUAAUCUUUAUGAUUUGUAAAUACUUUAUUUAACAUAUUGAAUUCUAAGUAAAUGACACUUUUAUAUGCGUGUAUUAGAUAAUAGAUUUUCUUUAAUUAAUAUUUGUACACAAAUUAAAUCGUUACAUAUUUUGUAUAACAAAUACAUGUCUCACACUUUUCCAUCAUUUAAUGUCCACGAACCAAUAAUCCCUAAUAAAUUGUGCACCAAGCCAAGCUCCAUAGACAAACCCAUGGUCUUCAAUAAAAAAAAAAGAGUAGCAAAAAAGAAGAAAAAAAAAAGUCAUCUGAUUUGCCCUUUUAAAAUCUAAUCCAGAAGUGACGCAAGUACAGUCACAAAGGAUGUUUCGAUAAAAAGACACACCAACUUACUUAAAGGAAACUAGCGAUGCCCAAGAUGAGGCACUACUAAUGGAAAAACAGGUACAAUUACCCACAGGACCAACCACAUAAAGCUGGACCUGAAAACUUUAAGGCGUCUUCAACCUGAUAGUGCAGGAAUGAGCGAGCGACAAGAUCGUCAAUGAGGCUCAAAAAAAGGCAUAAAGCACGAGAGAAGAGUGGAGGACACAUGCGGCACACAUGACCUACCUUUGGCACGUGUGCAAUGGUUCCCACAUGCAAAGAAACCCACUCGCACAUGCAAGAACACUUCCUGCAUAAUUAUGGCACACCAAGCGUGCAGAUAGACACGCCAUAUGCCCCGUGCAGAAAUAAGCACUCAGACUGUGCGUGCACACACACGACUAUUGUGCCCAUGCGAGUAAUAAUGACCAUGCGUGUGGGCCUAGACAGGGCAUAUACACAUAAGCCCAUCUAUCAAGAUACGCGCCCAGCCUGUAGCCGAACCAGUUGCACGACUAGUAGGCUAAUGCUUGAUGUGCCAGCCCAACACGCGGGCUCAUUUUGCAUGACUCAUGGGAUCCGACUGGCCCAACCUGCGCAGGCUACCUAACCCGCGAACCACGAAUGUCGACCCUCCACUUCCUCAAAUUCUUUUUUUUGGACCUGGCCUUCACUUUUCCACAUGCUUAAUUAAUUUUCCCAUGUGUAUUUCAACAUUUUUUUUUCAUUUUUUAAUGCUUAUUUUAAUGUAAUUGAUAUCUCUUAGGUUAUUUAUUUAUUUAUUUUGAAUUUUAGAUUGGGAUAGAAUAUUAUUUUAUUAAUUUUUAAGUGUUUGUAACCACCUAGACUAUUCAAGUAAAAACUUAUAAAUAGGCCUUUACCAUAGGUUGUAAACACACUUAAGUUGAGAAAUAAAUCAAAGAUUAGCCUUUUUCUUCAAUUAGUAGUUUACUAAUUUUUGAGUUUCUUCAAGUUCUUCAAGAAGUGAGAGUCUUCAGAAGCUUAUUGAGCCAAGAAGCAGGGAUCAACUUAUCUGUAAGUCUGUAGUAUAUUUUUCUUUCCUCAUUUUAAUUUCCUAGUUCCUAUUUAUGCAUGCUUAUUAGGUGUUGUAGAUUCAAGUAGAGGGAGGAAUUUUCUAAGCGGUUAAAGUUUCAAUAUUGUAUAUAUUGUGUGGGUUAUAGGAGUUGAUUUGAUCCUCCUCAUACCCUCUCGUGUCAUCUAGUAUCAGAGCUUAGGCUCCUAAAACCCAAACUAUCUUUAUUGUUCUUCAACAUUUUUGUUCCUAAAUUAAUAUUUAAAUUUAUUUUGAUUGUUAAUUUGUUUGCAUUUUAUUUUAAUCUGUUUUAUCCACUAUUUGAAGUAAUUUUAUGUUUGUUCCAUUAUUAAAAAAUAUAUAUAUAUAAAAAUACGAAAAAAAAUCUCAAUUGCACCCCAUAAGGACUCGUUGUUUGCAUUUUGCUUAACAAAAAUAGAAUAGCCGCCUAGUUGGGUGACUAUAAAACCUUUGAUAGUCAAAGGCAGAGUACCUCAUAUAUCGGGUACGAGCGAAAAUUUUUAUUUUUAUUCCAUACAUCUUUUACGUUAAAUUUUCGAAUUGCAUGUCUAUAAUCUUGCAUCAGCGUUGCAUGAAGAAACUUGGUAGGUCGUAGAGUGUAGUUGACAAUUUGGGAGUAGUAUAAAUAUAUACACCUUACGAUUAUAUCCAUCAUGAUUGAUAGGAUCCCUACACAUCAUUUUGAAUUGUCAUUCUUUGUGAUCUAAGUUUCUACUUUUUUAUACUCUUGUUCCAUUACAAAAAAAAUUAAGUGACUAAUUGAUACUAGUUGUAUAACACACAAAAAACACACCAUUCAUUCUUCUGUAUGCUUGUUUUUGAGCUUCAGUAAAAAUUAGAAUCAUUUAGGGUCCUUAUUAUGGCAUAAGGAUCAAUGUGCAGAAUCGAUCCAAGUUAUUUCAAUUUUGAAUGCUCAACUCGAUAGAAGAAACUGUCAAUUGAGGGAUUGUGAGGUAAACACGAGCGGAGGUAAAAAAGAGUUUUUACUUUCACUAACUUCUUCUUGCAAGUACUUCGAUAUGUUUUAGAUCAUUACAGGAGCUCCUAGCUAGAGUUGUACCCUUGUUCUGCAAAGAGGCCUCUUUAAAAAUUCCUAUUCAUUCGGGCCUUAUGGCCACACAAAACUUAUUUAUUCUAUUUCAUAAUUUGUUUUCAUGAUUCAUAAAUUUUAUCGAUUUUUAUUUUAUUUUAAUUUAUCUAAUUUUAUUUUCGUUUAAUUAUUUAAUCUUUAAAUUUUGAAUUAAAUGAUUUUUGGAAAAAAAUAAAAAAGGGGACAAAUAUCUUACGAGAAAAUCCCAUGAGAAAGGGCUGCAAGCUCGGGCCACCGUGUGCUAUGCUUGCGCAUGCAUGCGCACAGCUAGUGCAGGACGUGCGCGCAGUGUGUAUGUCCCAUCUGUGCACACGGUGCGAGGUCAAUCCUGCGUGUGUCUUAUUGCACGUGGGCAGGCUGUUCGCACGUCACCUCACGCGUGGUCAGGCGUCGCACACUUUGCGUUCGCCGUCCGCGCAACAAGCCUACGCAGAUAGGCCCCUACGUGCCUAGGGCCCAUGAUCAGUAGGCCUGCACGCGCAAUAGAGUAACCCAUAUGCUUGCAAGAUAACCUUGCAGUGCACCGGCAAGUAAGGCCAUUGCCGCCUUGGGUAGUGUGCCGCCUUAGGCAGUGUGCCGCCACCCACCUCAGGUGGCAUGGCACUGCUCUUGGCACCACUGCUGUUGGUAGAGGAGGUCUUUCUCUUUUAUUUUGUGUGCCGAGCAUCUUUUUCUCUCUCUCUUCACCGGAUUUUGCCACUUGUGGCAAAUCCAAUAGCUCUCCUUUUUUAUAAAUAGGGGCCCUUCCUUCCCAUUUUCUCUAUACUUCCAUUCUUUCACCUUUCAAGAAUUAGAGAGAGAGAAAAAAAAAAGUGAUUUAGAGAGAGAAUGAGAGGAAGAAAAGAAUAACGAUGUAGAAGAGAUUAUCAAAGUUUCGGUAAUAAAUUUAGUAUUUCUUUAAAUUUGUUAAGGGGUAUUUUUAGAACAAAAAAGGUUAAAUUGAUAAUUUUGUGAUUUUGCCUAUUUUUGCAUGCUUUAUGUUUGUAGGCUUAAUAAACUGAAUUAUUUUUUAUUUCGAGCAUGCUAUGUGAGUGAUAGACACUUGAUGAUUUGCAUGUAAUUGUACUAAAAUGAAACUGGUAAAGGUAUUUGAAAAAUAAAAAGAACAAAAAAAAAGUAGAAUGAAGCAUGAAUAGUACGAAGUAUGUAUCUGUAUUGACAUGCAUAAUGCAUCAAGUGUCUUGUUCGGCUUUUUAUCUCUAAGGGGUAUCUGUUCCCCUAUCCCCAUCUAGGAUAUCUAUUUUUUCCCUCCCCCAUCUGGUUUAAAAAGACGUAAGAGGACCGCUUCUUGUAAAUGACGAUGUACUUUCUGACAAGAGUGGUGAUACAAAUAUCUGUUAGGGAUCACCUUUGGCUAAGUACUGUCAUAACUAUAGAAUAUCUUAUAGGACUACUAUGGUAGGUAUAGUCGUGGUCAUAGAUCGUACUAUGGUUUGGCAAGCCGAAAAUAUAUCUGAGCAAAUUGUCGUUAUCUGUAUCUAAUUUGGUCAUUCCACAUAGGUAGUCAGAAAUAAGAAUAUGCUUUUAGAGAUGGAAGUUGUAACGACUUCAAGAAGCAUGAUACGAAAAUAUGAGCAUUUCAUGAUUUAUUUAAUUUUCUCUAUUAUCUCGUAUGCUGUGUUUAUCUUGAUUAUAUUAACGUGAUGUUUUCUCUAAUAAAUAAAUUAUUUUCAUAAGGUAAGAUAAGUUUUCAAAGUAACCAAAGGGUAAGUGUUUAUGUUAAAAUAAUUCACGUUUAAAACCUUAUGAUGUUAUUUAAAUACUGUUUUUCUUACUGAAUAUAUGCUACUCACUCUUUCCAUGCUCCCCCCCUCCAGAUGAGGAAGAGAAUGUGGAAUCGCUAGCUGACCUACCAAUUGAAGUUUAUGAGGAUCCCGUGGAUCUGCAAAACUUGAGUGCAUGAUCGUUCCCGCACUUUGAUGAGUCCAAUAGCAUAGUGAAAGAAGUAGCCCUCUUUUGUAUUUUGACAUUG
RNAcentral lists this long non-coding RNA (16827 nucleotides) under Carica papaya (papaya). Its description in RNAcentral is "long non-coding RNA (CPAP_LNC011524)". Lineage: Eukaryota; Viridiplantae; Streptophyta; Magnoliopsida; Brassicales; Caricaceae. The record is from RNAcentral.